This 253-nucleotide ribosomal RNA is filed under the name uncultured bacterium. RNAcentral describes it as "partial 16S ribosomal RNA". It matches the Rfam family "Bacterial small subunit ribosomal RNA", at positions 524 to 776 of the family's 1533-position model. The record is from RNAcentral.
UACGUAGGUGACCAGCGUUGUCCGGAUUUACUGGGCGUAAAGAGCGCGCAGGCGGUCGUUCAAGUCGAGUGUGAAAGCCCCCGGCUCAACUGGGGAGGGUCAUUCGAUACUGAUCGACUCGAAGGCAGGAGAGGGAAGUGGAAUUCCCGGUGUAGUGGUGAAAUGCGUAGAUAUCGGGAGGAACACCAGUGGCGAAGGCGACUUCCUGGCCUGUUCUUGACGCUGAGGCGCGAAAGCUAGGGGAGCAAACGGG